AGCAGCCGCGGUAAUUCCAGCUCCAAUAGCGUAUAUUAAAGUUGUUGCAGUUAAAAAGCUCGUAGUUGAAUUUCGGGAUCAAUACGUCGGUCGUGCUUCGGUACGUACUGGCGUAAUUGAUUUCUCCCUUCUGACGAACCAUGAUGUCAUUAACUUGGUGUCAUGGGAAAUCAGGACUGUUACUUUGAAAAAAUUAGAGUGUUUAAAGCAGGCUCACGCUUGAAUACAUUAGCAUGGAAUAAUGAAAUAGGACGUUCGAUCCUAUUUUGUUGGUUUUUAGGAUCAACGUAAUGAUUAAUAGGGAUAGUUGGGGGCAUUAGUAUUCAAUUGUCAGAGGUGAAAUUCUUGGAUUUAUUGAAGACUAACUACUGCGAAAGCAUUUGCCAAGGAUGUUUUCAUUAAUCAAGAACGAAAGUUAGGGGAUCGAAGACGAUCAGAUACCGUCGUAGUCUUAACCAUAAACUAUGCCGACUAGGGAUCGGAUGAUGUUAAUUUUUUAAUUGUACUCAUUCGGCGUCCU
This 520-nucleotide ribosomal RNA is filed under the name uncultured Glomus. Its description in RNAcentral is "SSU rRNA". It matches the Rfam family "Eukaryotic small subunit ribosomal RNA", at positions 569 to 1089 of the family's 1831-position model. The record is from RNAcentral. Lineage: Eukaryota; Fungi; Glomeromycota; Glomeromycetes; Glomerales; Glomeraceae.